RNAcentral lists this unclassified non-coding RNA (26 nucleotides) under Mus musculus (house mouse). RNAcentral's name for it is "oocyte_clustered_small_RNA1633". The record is from RNAcentral. Lineage: Eukaryota; Metazoa; Chordata; Mammalia; Rodentia; Muridae.
UGGAGUCACUGGGUCUAGGGGCCUAU